CUUGAACUGACCUUUUCUUUGUGAUGUAAGACUCGCUUCCUCGGAGAGAGGGAGGUCGCCAUUUCUGCAAAUUCAAGUUGCUGGUUCUGGUGCGUGAGAAAUGGCUGGUGAUUUGGAUGAUAAGGUAUCAAUACUAUUGGAUACUUGUCCUCAACUAUCCAAUGGUUCCAUGGAAGUUCCAUUAACAAGCUUUAGCGCUAGGCGUACUACUCGGAGUGUAUCAUGUUUGCCAAUGUCUGCUACGAAUUCCAUGGGGCCCUACGGAAGUGAAAAUAGCCCUCUAUCUCAUAUUGGUCGUUUGAAUGGUGAAAAACGCCCUCUUUAUACCCCUGAGCGGUCCUUUAUAUAGCCAUACGAAGCCCAAGAACUUCUCUCAGCCUAUGAAUGGGACAUUAGUUAGAAGAACAGUGACUGUCAACGAAAGUGUUAUAGAAAUGGGCCAGAUGGACAGGCCAGAUGACAGCUUUGUGCAAAAGAAUGAGCAUUUAUUGAAGUCUGGGCAAUUGGGUAAAUGCAAUGAUCCUUUCUGCACCAUGUGCCCGAUGAAUUAUGAUUUCAAAGAAGCAGAAAAGAAAUAUAAAAAGGCUUCAGCUUUUGACACUAAGUUACCUAAUUCACCAUACGGGGAUGCCAAAGGUUGGGUGCAAAAAUCAUUUUCCUCGCUAAAAAGAUGUAUUCCUGGCAUCAUGAAUCCUCAUACCAAGGUUGUUCAGCAAUGGAACCAAUUUUUUGCCAUUUUUUGCUUGGUGGCAAUUUUCAUGGACCCAUUUUUUUUCUUCCUACUGUCCAUGAAGGAGGUAUAAUUUUGUUCUCUUCCAUGUUAAUGACAAACAACUUAGAUUGCAUUUAAAACUUUUUUUUUUUUUUUUAACGAUUAGAUUGCAUUUAAAACUUUUCACAUCUUUAACUUGAAUAAAUGAUGAAAACUUGUAUUACUGGGUAUUUGUAUGUGAUUUUGAGCUUUCUCAGCAAAGUUCUAUGUAUUGGAGGGCCUAUCAGCCAAGCCAAAAAUGAUAAGAUACUGGCAUGAUUUUUUUUGGCCAAAAAUGUGAACAGU
Long non-coding RNA from Magnolia sinica, 1057 nucleotides. RefSeq lists it as uncharacterized. The transcript is spliced from 3 exons. Lineage: Eukaryota; Viridiplantae; Streptophyta; Magnoliopsida; Magnoliales; Magnoliaceae. The record is from RefSeq and is a predicted model, not a curated record.